AGAGCGAACGCUGGCGGCAGGCCUAAUACAUGCAAGUCGAACGAAGCCUUCGGGCUUAGUGGCGGACGGGUGAGUAACACGUGGGAACGUACCCUUUGGUUCGGAACAACUCAGGGAAACUUGAGCUAAUACCGAAUGUGCCCCCAUCCUUAAAAAAGAUGGGUGGGAAAGAUUUAUCGCCAUUGGAGCGGCCCGCGUCUGAUUAGCUAGUUGGUGAGGUAAAGGCCCACCAAGGCUACGAUCAGUAGCUGGUCUGAGAGGAUGAUCAGCCACACUGGGACUGAGACACGGCCCAGACUCCUACGGGAGGCAGCAGUAGGGAAUCUUGCGCAAUGGGCAAAGCCUGACGCAGCCAUGCCGCGUGAAUGAUGAAGGUCUUAGGAUUGUAAAAUUCUUUCAGCGGGGACGAUAAUGACGGUACCCGCAGAAGAAGCCCCGGCUAACUUCGUGCCAGCAGCCGC
Molecule: ribosomal RNA, 461 nt
Filed under: uncultured bacterium
Lineage: Bacteria
Description: SSU rRNA
Rfam family: Bacterial small subunit ribosomal RNA
Source: RNAcentral